CAUAGGUUAAUGAGGCGAACCGGGGGAACUGAAACAUCUAAGUACCCCGAGGAAAAGAAAUCAACCGAGAUUCCCCCAGUAGCGGCGAGCGAACGGGGAGGAGCCCAGAGCCUGAAUCAGUGUGUGUGUUAGUGGAAGCGUCUGGAAAGGCGCGCGAUACAGGGUGACAGCCCCGUACACAAAAAUGCACAUGCUGUGAGCUCGAUGAGUAGGGCGGGACACGUGGUAUCCUGUCUGAAUAUGGGGGGACCAUCCUCCAAGGCUAAAUACUCCUGACUGACCGAUAGUGAACCAGUACCGUGAGGGAAAGGCGAAAAGAACCCCGGCGAGGGGAGUGAAAAAGAACCUGAAACCGUGUACGUACAAGCAGUGGGAGCCUCUUAAUGGGGUGACUGCGUACCUUUUGUAUAAUGGGUCAGCGACUUAUAUUCUGUAGCAAGGUUAACCGAAUAGGGGAGCCGAAGGGAAACCGAGUCUUAACUGGGCGUUAAGUUGCAGGGUAUAGACCCGAAACCCGGUGAUCUAGCCAUGGGCAGGUUGAAGGUUGGGUAACACUAACUGGAGGACCGAACCGACUAAUGUUGAAAAAUUAGCGGAUGACUUGUGGCUGGGGGUGAAAGGCCAAUCAAACCGGGAGAUAGCUGGUUCUCCCCGAAAGCUAUUUAGGUAGCGCCUCGUGAAUUCAUCUCCGGGGGUAGAGCACUGUUUCGGCAAGGGGGUCAUCCCGACUUACCAACCCGAUGCAAACUGCGAAUACCGGAGAAUGUUAUCACGGGAGACACACGGCGGGUGCUAACGUCCGUCGUGAAGAGGGAAACAACCCAGACCGCCAGCUAAGGUCCCAAAGUCAUGGUUAAGUGGGAAACGAUGUGGGAAGGCCCAGACAGCCAGGAUGUUGGCUUAGAAGCAGCCAUCAUUUAAAGAAAGCGUAAUAGCUCACUGGUCGAGUCGGCCUGCGCGGAAGAUGUAACGGGGCUAAACCAUGCACCGAAGCUGCGGCAGCGACACUAUGUGUUGUUGGGUAGGGGAGCGUUCUGUAAGCCUGUGAAGGUGGCCUGUGAGGGUUGCUGGAGGUAUCAGAAGUGCGAAUGCUGACAUAAGUAACGAUAAAGCGGGUGAAAAGCCCGCUCGCCGGAAGACCAAGGGUUCCUGUCCAACGUUAAUCGGGGCAGGGUGAGUCGACCCCUAAGGCGAGGCCGAAAGGCGUAGUCGAUGGGAAACAGGUUAAUAUUCCUGUACUUGGUGUUACUGCGAAGGGGGGACGGAGAAGGCUAUGUUGGCCGGGCGACGGUUGUCCCGGUUUAAGCGUGUAGGCUGGUUUUCCAGGCAAAUCCGGAAAACCAAGGCUGAGGCGUGAUGACGAGGCACUACGGUGCUGAAGUGACAAAUGCCCUGCUUCCAGGAAAAGCCUCUAAGCAUCAGGUAACAUCAAAUCGUACCCCAAACCGACACAGGUGGUCAGGUAGAGAAUACCAAGGCGCUUGAGAGAACUCGGGUGAAGGAACUAGGCAAAAUGGUGCCGUAACUUCGGGAGAAGGCACGCUGAUA
Molecule: ribosomal RNA, 1548 nt
Filed under: Escherichia coli
Lineage: Bacteria; Pseudomonadati; Pseudomonadota; Gammaproteobacteria; Enterobacterales; Enterobacteriaceae
Description: partial 23S ribosomal RNA
Rfam family: Bacterial large subunit ribosomal RNA
Source: RNAcentral